GGCCUUGACAUACUAAGAACUUUCCAGAGAUGGAUUGGUGCCUUCGGGAACUUAGAUACAGGUGCUGCAUGGCUGUCGUCAGCUCGUGUCGUGAGAUGUUGGGUUAAGUCCCGNAACGAGCGCAACCCUUUUCCUUAUUUGCCAGCGGGUCAUGCCGGGAACUUUAAGGAUACUGCCAGUGACAAACUGGAGGAAGGCGGGGACGACGUCAAGUCAUCAUGGCCCUACGGCCAGGGCUACACACGUGCUACAAUGGUCGGUACAAAGGGUUGCUACCUCGCGAGAGGAUGCUAAUCUCAAAAAGCCGAUCGUAGUCCGGAUCGCAGUCUGCAACUCGACUGCGUGAAGUCGGAAUCGCUAGUAAUCGCGGAUCAGAAUGCCGCGGUGAAUACGUUCCCGGGCCUUGUACACACCGCCCGUCACACCAUGGGAGUUUGUUGCACCAGAAGUAGGUAGUCUAACCGCAAGGAGGACGCUUACCACGGUGUGGCCGAUGACUGGGGUGAAGUCGUAACAAGGUAAGCGUAGAUGA
RNAcentral lists this ribosomal RNA (532 nucleotides) under uncultured bacterium. RNAcentral's name for it is "bacterial SSU rRNA". It matches the Rfam family "Bacterial small subunit ribosomal RNA", at positions 977 to 1509 of the family's 1533-position model. The record is from RNAcentral.